GCCCAUUUCUCCCAAAGAAAAAUACCAUUUCUCAUUAUGUACAUCACCCCCCGCAACACAAACAAAUGGAACAGAACUCUUGAAUCUAGUGUUCCUUUUCUACCUUCAAAUAUAUCCCUUCACCCCUUUCCCAGUUUUUAUUCAUUUACACACGUGAAACGAUCAAAAUCACUGUCAAAACAACUUUCUUCUUAUCUCUCCUGUUUAUCCCAAAU
RNAcentral lists this unclassified non-coding RNA (215 nucleotides) under Hevea brasiliensis (rubber tree). The record is from RNAcentral. Lineage: Eukaryota; Viridiplantae; Streptophyta; Magnoliopsida; Malpighiales; Euphorbiaceae.